Molecule: ribosomal RNA, 207 nt
Filed under: uncultured bacterium
Lineage: Bacteria
Description: partial 16S ribosomal RNA
Rfam family: Bacterial small subunit ribosomal RNA
Source: RNAcentral
UCGGACUGUAGGCUGCAACUCGCCUACACGAAGUCGGAAUCGCUAGUAAUGGCAGGUCAGCAUACUGCCGUGAAUACGUUCCCGGGCCUUGUACACACCGCCCGUCACACCAUGAGAGUUGGGGAUACCCGAAGCCUGUGAGCUAACUUUUAGAGGCAGCAGUCGAAGGUAGAAUCAAUGAUUGGGGUGAAGUCGUAACAAGGUACC